GGAGGAGGGUGAAGUUUUGUGAUAGGAAAAUCAAACAAAGGAAUACAGUAAAAAAUCUCACCACUCAUUGCCAGGUGGUGUUUAAGCAAAAUGAGACCCCUCGUCUUCCCAGCUCCGUUCUCUGCAGGGCUGCGUUCUGCAUGCAUCAUGAUGGGAGACGAAAGCUCAAAGAAUGAUGGUUGUUAUUAUUUUCUUUUAACUGAAAGUAGAGGUCUUUUACACAUGGAGAGAUCUGAACCUGGUUUGUUUCUUGCCUUGGGGAGGAAAAAGAACCAAAACCAACGAAAUGGGGAAUGGUUUAAACUGAGACAAGGGAGGUUUAGGUUGGAUAUGAGGAGGAAGUUUUUCCCCCAGAGGGUGGUGACGCACUGAACAGGUUGCCCAAGGAGGCUGUGGAUGCCCCAUCCCUGCAGGCAUUCAAGGCCAGGCUGGAUGUGGCUCUGGGCAGCCUGGGCUGCUGGUUGUUGGCCCUGCCUGUGAUGGGGGGGUGGAGCUUCAUGAUCCUUGAGGUCCCUUCCAACCCAAGCCAUUCUGUGAUUCUAUGAUCCUCAUUGCCUUUUUUCUUCAUUAAGGAAAACCUCACAAACAGCAGAGUGCACACAUAGCCCAUGUGUGUCUUCCCUUUGUCUCUUUGCAACAGUCAUUUGAUAUUUGGGUCUCAGUGGAAGACACUGUGGCGCAACAUUGCUGUACCACACACUGGAGACCUGCAUUGUAUUCAGUAAGAGAGAAAUGGAGAAAUUUGAAUUAAUUGCUAUGAGAGUCAAGCUGGACUUGUUUGAAGUGACUCUUGCUGGAGCCUUCCCACACAGCGUGGCACUAAAUGUGGUAGCUGAGCUAACCUGCUUUGCUGCUGAUGACAAAUUUCAACAAAUCUGCUAGUCUAAAAGAGUAAGGAAGCAUUUGUUGGAGGAGGUAAUGUU
Molecule: long non-coding RNA, 923 nt
Filed under: Gallus gallus (chicken)
Lineage: Eukaryota; Metazoa; Chordata; Aves; Galliformes; Phasianidae
Description: lncRNA (ENSGALG00010020391.1)
Source: RNAcentral